AGGGCAUACGGUGGAUGCCUUGGCACCAAAAGGCGAUGAAGGACGUGGUUACCUGCGAUAAGCGUCGGCGAGGUGGAAGCAACCUUUGACCCGGCGAUUUCCGAAUGGGGCAACCCAUCCCGCGUCAUGGCGGGAUACUCCAUGCUGAAUCCAUAGGCAUGGUUGAGCCAACUGGGAGAAGUGAAACAUCUCAGUAACCCAAGGAAGAGAAAACAAAAGUGAUUUCCUGAGUAGCGGCGAGCGAAAUGGAAAUAGCCUAAACCGACUUACACGUUCAAGGAGAUGACCGUUGUGUAAGCGGUGUUGUGGGACUCUGUGAACGAAUCAUCGAUAGUUCAAGGAGUUACAAAUCAUUUUGUUAGCGGAAGUUUCUGGAAAGCUACACCAUAGAGGGUGAUAGUCCCGUACGUAAAAACGAAAUGACUCCUAAGAGGAUCCCAAGUACCACGGAGCAAGUGGAAGUCUGUGGGAAUCUGCCAGAACCAUCUGGUAAGGCUAAAUACUCUUUGGUGACCGAUAGUGAACAAGUACCGUGAGGGAAAGGCGAAAAGCACCCUUAAGAAGGGAGUGAAAUAGAACCUGAAACCGUAUGCUUACAAACGGUUGGAGUUUUGUUUUUUUGCUUGCAAGAAAACAGAAUGACAGCGUGCCUUUUGCUUAAUGAGCCUACGAGUUGCUCAUACGUUGCAAGGUUAAUGGACUCAGUCCAGUAGCCGUAGCGAAAGCAAGUCCUAACUGGGCGAUUCAGUAACGUAUGGCAGACGCGAAACCGGGUGAUCUACCCUUGGUCAGGAUGAAGUGAGGGUAACACCUCAUGGAGGUCCGAACCGGUGCGGGUUGAAAACCGCUCGGAUGAACUGAGGGUAGGAGCGAAAGACCAAUCAAACUCGGAGAUAGCUCGUACUCCCCGAAAUAGCUUUAGGGCUAGCCUCGUGUUAUAAUAUUGUGCAGGUAGAGCACUGAUUGGGCUAGGGUCGUCACAACGAUACCAAACCCAGACAAACUCCGAAUUGCGCUAAUAUGUUUCACGGGAGUCAGGCGACGAGGGAUAAGCUUCGACGCCGAGAGGGGAAUAACCCAGACCGCCAGCUAAGGUCCCUAAUUUCAGAUUAACAGAGAAAGGAUGUUAAGUUGCUCAGACAACUAGGAUGUUGGCUUAGAAGCAGCCAUUCAUUUAAAGAGUGCGUAAUAGCUCACUAGUCAAGCGACUUAGCGCCGACAAUACUCGGGACUUAAAUCUGAUACCGAAGCUGCGGAUUCGCCUUUGGCGAAUGGUAGGGGAGCAUUCCAUCAACAGCGAAGGUGUGGUGUGAGCCAUGCUGGAGUUGAUGGAAACGAAGAUGUAGGCAUAAGUAACGAUAAUUCCGAUGAGAAAUCGGAACACCGAAAAUCUAAGGUUUCCUGAGCAACGUUAAUCGUCUCAGGGUUAGUCGGAUCCUAAGCUGAGGCCGAAAGGCGUAGGUGAUGGAAAACAGGUUGAAUAUUCCUGUACCACUGUAGAGUCGUUUGACUGUAAGGGGUGACGCAGAAGUGAAAGUCGGGCCAGCUGUUGGCUUAGCUGGUUUAAGUCUGUAGGCGUCUCGUGUAGGCAAAUCCGCACGGGAGUUAUCGCUGAGAGAUGAAUAGGGUGCUCGCAAGGGCCACAACUCGACCUAAUCAUGCUGCCAAGAAAAACCUCGUAUGGGAGACUUUACGGUGUCCGUACCGCAAACCGACACAGGUAGAUGGGUAGAAUAUACUAAGGUGCUCGAGUGAGCCGUGGUUAAGGAACUCGGCAAAUUAGCCCCGUAACCUCGGAAGAAGGGGCGCUCUGAGUAUGUUGCUAUGUACAAUGGCUGCAGAAAAGAGCCGCAGUGAAAUGGGCCAAGCGACUGUUUAUCAAAAACACAUGUCUAUGCUAAGCCGUGAAGGCGAUGUAUAUAGACUGACACCUGCCCGGUGCCGGAAGGUUAAGGAAGUGGGUCAUUCGCCGUAAGGCGGAGAAGCUUGCGACUGAAGCCCCGGUAAACGGCGGCCGUAACUAUAACGGUCCUAAGGUAGCGAAAUUCCUUGUCGGGUAAGUUCCGACCUGCACGAAUGGUGUAACGAUUUGGUCACUGUCUCAACCACGGGCUCGGUGAAAUUGUGGUACCGGUGAAGACGCCGGUUACCCGCACAUGGACGGAAAGACCCCGUGCACCUUUACUGCACCCUAGCAUUGGGUUUGGUCAUAGCAUGUGUAGAAUAGGUGGGAGACUGUGAAGCCGGGGCGCUAGCUUCGGUGGAGUCGUCAGUGAAAUACCACCCUUGGUGUGAUUGAAUUCUAACCUAUUGCCGUGAAUCCGGCAAGGGGACAGUGUUAGGCGGGUAGUUUGACUGGGGCGGUCGCCUCCUAAAAUGUAACGGAGGCUCUCAAAGGUUCCCUCAGCAUGGUCGGUAAUCAUGCGUUGAGUGUAAAGGCAUAAGGGAGCUUAACUGUGAGACAUACAAGUCGAGCAGAUGCGAAAGCAGGACUUAGUGAUCCGUUGGUCCCGAGUGGAAGGGCCAACGCUCAAAGGAUAAAAGGUACGCCGGGGAUAACAGGCUGAUCUUGCCCAAGAGUUCAUAUCGACGGCAAGGUUUGG
Molecule: ribosomal RNA, 2603 nt
Filed under: activated sludge metagenome
Description: bacterial LSU rRNA
Rfam family: Bacterial large subunit ribosomal RNA
Source: RNAcentral